UACAGAGGGUGCGAGCGUUAAUCGGAAUUACUGGGCGCAAAGCGCACGUAGGUGGCGACGUAAGUCGGGUGUGAAAGCCCCGGGCUCAACCUGGUAAUUGCAUUCGAGACUGCAUUGCUGGAGUACGGAAGAGGAGGGCGGAAUUCCCGGCGUAGCGGUGAAAUGCGUAGAUAGCGGGAGGAACAUCAGUGGCGAAGGCGGCCCUCUGGUCCAGUACUGACACUCAAGUGCGAAAGCGUGGGGAGCAAACAGG
This 253-nucleotide ribosomal RNA is filed under the name uncultured bacterium. RNAcentral describes it as "partial 16S ribosomal RNA". It matches the Rfam family "Bacterial small subunit ribosomal RNA", at positions 524 to 776 of the family's 1533-position model. The record is from RNAcentral.